AUUGAACGCUGGCGGCAGGCUUAACACAUGCAAGUCGAGCGGAAGAAGACUUCGGUCUUCGAGAGCGGCGGACGGGUGAGUAACGCGUGGGAAUCUGGCUCUUAGAGGGGGACAACUUGUGGAAACGCAAGCUAAUACCGCAUACGCCCUAAGGGGGAAAGCAGGGGAUCUUCGGACCUUGCGCUAAGAGAUGAGCCCGCGUCGGAUUAGCGAGUUGGUGGGGUAAAGGCCUACCAAGGCGACGACCCGUAACUGGUAUGAGAGGAUGAUCAGCCGCACUGGAACUGAGACACGGUCCAGACUCCUACGGGAGGCAGCAGUGGGGAAUAUUGGACAAUGGGGGAAACCCUUAUCCAGCCAUGCCGCGUGUGUGAAGAAGGCCGUCGGGUUGUAAAGCACUUUAAGUUGGGAGGAAAGGGUUGUGUCUAAUAUCCAUAAUCUAUGACGUUACCAACAGAAUAAGCACCGGCUAACUCCGUGCCAGCAGCCGCUGUAA
Molecule: ribosomal RNA, 496 nt
Filed under: uncultured bacterium
Lineage: Bacteria
Description: partial 16S ribosomal RNA
Rfam family: Bacterial small subunit ribosomal RNA
Source: RNAcentral